This 496-nucleotide ribosomal RNA is filed under the name uncultured bacterium. RNAcentral's name for it is "partial 16S ribosomal RNA". It matches the Rfam family "Bacterial small subunit ribosomal RNA", at positions 28 to 523 of the family's 1533-position model. The record is from RNAcentral.
GAUGAACGCUAGCGGCAGGCUUAACACAUGCAAGUCGAGGGGUAGAGGUUGCUUGCAACCUUGAGACCGGCGCACGGGUGCGUAACGCGUAUGCAACCUACCUUUUACAGAGGGAUAGCCCAGAGAAAUUUGGAUUAAUACCUCAUAGUAUAUAACCUUCGCAUGUUGGUUAUAUUAAAGUUCCAACGGUAAAAGAUGGUCAUGAGUCCUAUUAGCUAGAUGGUAAGGUAACGGCUUACCAUGGCAACGAUAGGUAGGGGUCUUGAGAGGGAGAUCCACCACACUGGUACUGAGACACGGACCAGACUCCUACGGGAGGCAGCAGUGAGGAAUAUUGGACAAUGGGCGCAAGCCUGAUCCAGCCAUGCCGCGUGCAGGAAGAAGCAUCUAUGGUGUGUAAACUGCUUUUGUACAGGAAGAAACACCCCGACGUGUCGGGGCUUGACGGUACUGUAAGAAUAAGGAUCGGCUAACUCCGUGCCAGCAGCCGCAGUAA